UUAAAGAAAGCGUAAUAGCUCACUGGUCGAGUCGGCCUGCGCGGAAGAUGUAACGGGGCUAAACCAUGCACCGAAGCUGCGGCAGCGACGCUGAUGCGUUGUUGGGUAGGGGAGCGUUCUGUAAGCCUGUGAAGGUGGCCUGUGAGGGUUGCUGGAGGUAUCAGAAGUGCGAAUGCUGACAUAAGUAACGAUAAAGCGGGUGAAAAGCCCGCUCGCCGGAAGACCAAGGGUUCCUGUCCAACGUUAAUCGGGGCAGGGUGAGUCGACCCCUAAGGCGAGGCCGAAAGGCGUAGUCGAUGGGAAACGGGUUAAUAUUCCCGUACUUGGUGUUACUGCGAAGGGGGGACGGAGAAGGCUAUGUUGGCCGGGCGACGGUUGUCCCGGUUUAAGCGUGUAGGUGUGUGUUCCAGGUAAAUCCGGUUCACUUUAACACUGAGGCGUGAUGACGAGGCACUACGGUGCUGAAGCAACAAAUGCCCUGCUUCCAGGAAAAGCCUCUAAGCAUCAGGUAACAUCAAAUCGUACCCCAAACCGACACAGGUGGUCAGGUAGAGAAUACCAAGGCGCUUGAGAGAACUCGGGUGAAGGAACUAGGCAAAAUGGUGCCGUAACUUCGGGAGAAGGCACGCUGACAC
This 635-nucleotide ribosomal RNA is filed under the name Salmonella enterica subsp. enterica serovar Kentucky. RNAcentral's name for it is "partial 23S ribosomal RNA". It matches the Rfam family "Bacterial large subunit ribosomal RNA", at positions 1123 to 1757 of the family's 2925-position model. Lineage: Bacteria; Pseudomonadati; Pseudomonadota; Gammaproteobacteria; Enterobacterales; Enterobacteriaceae. The record is from RNAcentral.